ACGGAAGGCAGCAGUGAGGAAUAUUGGUCAAUGGGCGGAAGCCUGGACCAGCCAAGUCGCGUGAAGGAAGAAGGUAUUAUGUAUUGUAAACUUCUUUAGCAGCAGAGAAAUAAGGUGGACGUGUCCACUGAUGCUAGUAUGCUGAGAAUAAGCAUCGGCUAACUCCGUGCCAGCAGCCGCGGUAAUACGGAGGAUGCGAGCGUUAUCCGGAUUUAUUGGGUUUAAAGGGUGCGCAGGCGGUCUUUUAAGUCAGUGGUCAAAUCGUGGUGCUCAACGCCAUCCUGCCAUUGAUACUGGGAGACUUGAUUGCGGUUGAGGUAGGCGGAAUUCGUCGUGUAGCGGUGAAAUGCAUAGAUAUGACGAAGAACACCGAUUGCGUAGGCAGCUUACCAAGCCGUAAAUGACGCUCAUGCACGAAAGUGCGGGGAUCGAACAGGAUUAGAUACCCUGGUA
Molecule: ribosomal RNA, 453 nt
Filed under: uncultured Porphyromonadaceae bacterium
Lineage: Bacteria; Pseudomonadati; Bacteroidota; Bacteroidia; Bacteroidales; Porphyromonadaceae
Description: partial 16S ribosomal RNA
Rfam family: Bacterial small subunit ribosomal RNA
Source: RNAcentral